RNAcentral lists this ribosomal RNA (477 nucleotides) under Ectopseudomonas oleovorans. Its description in RNAcentral is "partial 16S ribosomal RNA". It matches the Rfam family "Bacterial small subunit ribosomal RNA", at positions 986 to 1463 of the family's 1533-position model. Lineage: Bacteria; Pseudomonadati; Pseudomonadota; Gammaproteobacteria; Pseudomonadales; Pseudomonadaceae. The record is from RNAcentral.
AUGCUGAGAACUUUCCAGAGAUGAAUUGGUGCUUUUGGGAACUCAGACACAGGUGCUGCAUGGCUGUUGUCAGCUCGUGUCGUGAGAUGUUGGGUUAAGUCCCGUAACGAGCGCAACCCUUGUCCUUAGUUACCAGCACGUAAUGGUGGGCACUCUGAGAGUGACUGCCGGUGACAAACCGGAGGAAGGUGGGGAUGACGUCAAGUCAUCAUGGCCCAUACGGCCAGGGCUACACACGUGCUACAAUGGUCGGUACAAAGGGUUGCCAAGCCGCGAGGUGGAGCUAAUCCCAUAAAACCGAUGGUAGUCCGGAUCGCAGUCUGCAACUUGACUGCGUGAAGUCGGAAUCGCUAGUAAUCGUGAAUCAGAAUGUCACGGUGAAUACGUUCCCGGGCCUUGUACACACCGCCCGUCACACCAUGGGAGUGGGUUGCUCCAGAAGUAGCUAGUCUAACCUCGGGGGGACGGUACCACGAC